RNAcentral lists this transfer RNA (52 nucleotides) under Mactra sp. WB-F. RNAcentral's name for it is "tRNA-Glu". The record is from RNAcentral. Lineage: Eukaryota; Metazoa; Mollusca; Bivalvia; Venerida; Mactridae.
UUUUUAUGGUGUAACAAACACGUUGAAUUUUCGAUUCAGAGAUGGGAAAAUC